AGAUCCAUGAUCUAAGAUUAGCCAUGCAUGUCUAAGUAUAAAGGUUACAUACAAUGAAACUGCGAAUGGCUCAUUCAAACAGUUAUAGUUUAUUUGAUAUUCAAACUUAUAUUUCAUAUUAGUUUAAAUGGAUAACCGUAGUAAUUCUAGAGCUAAUACAUGCGUUACGAGGGACUUUACGGAACCUCAGUAUUUAUUAGAUUUCCAAACCAAUAUUCCGCAAGGUCUACUGAGAUGAUUCAUGAUAACUGAUCGAAUUGCUGGGUCUACUAGCAAUAAAUCAUUCAUGUUUCUGCUUCCCAUCAGCUUGAUGGUCGUGUAUUGGACAACCAUGGCAUUCACGGGCUAUCGGGGGAUUAGGGUUCGAUUCCGGAGAGGGAGCCUGAGAAACGGCUACCACUUCUACGGAAGGCAGCAGGCGCGAAAAUUAUCCAAUCCUGACUCAGGGAGGUAGUGAAAGAAAUAAUGAACUAGGAUUUAUCCUGGGAUCACAAUGGGCUUGAUUUGCAAACUUUAUUUAGCGAGGAACAAUUGGAGGGCAAGUCUGGUCCAGCAGCCGCGGUAAUUCCAGCUCCAAUAGUGUAUAUUAAUGUUCCUGCAGUUAUUCGAUGCUCGUAGUUGGAUUUCUGGAGGUAGAGACAGGAGGGCGGCUAUGGCCGCCGCCAGCCUCUUCCUUCAUCCACCUGUUAACGUUGUCCGAGAUUCAUUUCUCGGCUUCGGGCUCAGGUAUUUUACCCUUUCUAUAUAUUCAUUUAUUAUCUUAUUUUUGAGCAAAUUAUAGUGUUUCAGGCAGGCGUGCGCCGGAAUACAUUAGCAUGGAAUAAUCGAACAGGACCGUGAUCUUAUUUGUUGGUUUCGAAGGACACGGAAAUGGUUAAUAGGGAUAGUAAUUUUCAGGGGAGGCAUUAGUAUUUAAUUUCCAGAGGUGAAAUUCUUUGAAAUAUUAAAGACUAACCUUAUGCGAAAGCAUUUAUUUUGCCAAUAAUGUUUUCAUUAAUCAUUGGAACGAAAGUUAAGGGGAUCAAAGAACGAUCGGAUAACCGUCCUAGGUCUUUAACCAUAAACGUUUCCCAACUAAGGAAUCUGAAGGGCAUGACCAUUACCGCCUUCGGAGCCUUUACCAGAAAUCCAAAGUAUAUGGGGUUCUGGGGGGUUAUAUUGGUCCCAAAGGUUGAAAAAUUAUAAGAUAUUGUCGGAAGGGCACCACCAGGGGUGGAGCUUGCGGCUCAAUUUGACUCAACACGGGAAAUCUUACCAGGUCCAGACAUAGCGAGGAUUGCAGAUUGAUAGCUCUUUCUUGAUUCUAUGGGUAUUUUUGGUGGUGCAUGGCCGUUCUUAGUUGGUGGAGUGAUUUGUCUGGUUAAUUCCGUUAAACGAACGAGACCUCAGCCUGCUAACUAGUUACCUGUCUUUCCAUUUACGAGACUUGCUAACUUCUUAGAGGGACGUUGUGUGCAACCACAAGGAAGUUGAGGCAAUAACAGGUCUGUGAUGCCCUUAGAUGUCCUGGGCCGCACGCGUGCUACACUGAUACGUACAACAAGGUAUAUGCAUUCGUGCAUCAAUGCUGCUCCGAAAUAGACACAGCUAAAUCUUCUAAAAUACGUAUCGUGCUGCGGAUAGAUCGUUGAAAUUAUGAAUCUUGAAGGCGGAAUCCCUAGUAAGCGCAAGUCAUCAACUUGCGCUGAUUACGUCCCUGCCCUUUGUACACACCGCCCGUCGCUCCUACCAAUUUCGAGUGGCUCGGUGAACCUCUUUGGACUGUCGAGCAAUCGCGAAAUUAGAGUGAACCUGGUCACUUAGAGGAAGGAGAAGUCGAGAUGUUAAUU
RNAcentral lists this ribosomal RNA (1829 nucleotides) under Euplotes encysticus. RNAcentral describes it as "SSU rRNA". It matches the Rfam family "Eukaryotic small subunit ribosomal RNA". Lineage: Eukaryota; Ciliophora; Spirotrichea; Euplotida; Euplotidae. The record is from RNAcentral.